GGAAUAUGCAUAGGCGUUAGAGUAAUAUAAAAAUUAAAAAAAUGGUGAAUUAUUAUGUAUUUUAUUCAUGCUUUUCAAGAACGCACUUGUUCAAAAUGAAUUUAGUAUUCUAUAUUUGAUUUUCAGAGCAUGUUUAUAUUUUAUUUUUAAUACAUACAUUGUUGAAAUUGACCCUAAAUCAAAAAUGUGUGACUUUUACCGACUUAUGAAACCUUUAGUUUGAAGUCCUUGAAUAAGAUCACUGUGCUGAAAUAUUACUGAAGAUAUUGAAAUAAGGAGUGAAAAGUUCCCUUAUCUUUUUUUAAGAAUAUGCUGCAAGGUUAGUUGUGAAAUUUGCAAAAAAAAUAGAGGGAAAGAGAGUAAAUACAAGAAAAUUAAUAUCAAUGAAUGGAAAUUUGGCCCUUAAAUAUAUAAAGCCAUUUAGAGGUUAAGAAGAUUAUCAUCAAUUAAAGAACAUGUCUAUGUGGUUACGUCCAACUCUUAAUCAAGUAAGGGAGCUACCAUUUGAUUUUUAGGGGGGCUAGGAUGAAAUUUGAAAAAAAAACAGGCAGGACAGGAGUUCUGAGUAAAAAAAAAGGCAGGAUGAGACACUUGCAAAAAAAAAAGUCAGGAUGACAAUUUACGGUAGGUAAAAAAAAGGCAGGACAGAGAUUUCAGCUAAAAUAAAUAUGCAGGACAAAGUUUUUCAUCCUAGCCCCCCCCCCCCUAAAAACAAAUGGUUGCUCCCUAAGGUGUGGUAUAAUGAUUGCCAAUGAGACAACUCUACAGUAGCGACCAGAUGACACAGAAGUUAUCAACUAUAGGUCACUGUACGGCCUUCAAUAAUGAGCAUAAUCCUUACUGCAUUGAAAGCUACAAAAGAUCCAAAAAAUGACAAAUAAUUCUAACAAGAAAACUUAAACACCCUGAUUAAUGUGCAAGGCAACGAAACAAACAAAAAAAAAACAAAUAUAUUAUACUACUACUAACAACUACCUUAAAUUACAGCCUCCUGACUUGGGACAGGCACAUACAAUCCAUCCCCUACUCUCAAUCAGUAGCACAACAGCACAAAACAAGAACAAACUUUACAAAGAAAUAAAAGAAAAAGAAAUAUGAUAAAUAGAAAAUAAAAAACCUGACAUAUGAAGAGGUUCCUGUGUCUUUCAACAGACACACACAUAUGACAUGAUAGUGUAGCAAGGUUGAACUAGUUUGAAGAUGCACAAUACAUGGUAACAGUUGGAAUUUUUUUUUACAUUCUAGCUUGUUUUCAUCAGUUUCACGGAAAUGUGAAGAAAAUCUUUUUAUUGAGAUUUUCAUGCAGCAGCU
Molecule: long non-coding RNA, 1311 nt
Filed under: Mytilus galloprovincialis (Mediterranean mussel)
Lineage: Eukaryota; Metazoa; Mollusca; Bivalvia; Mytilida; Mytilidae
Source: RNAcentral